CAAGUCUUGAGUAUUUUUAUUAGGUAUAUUAUAAUUUCCCAACUGUAUUUUUGAUGAAUUUAUAUAGAGGCACGUAAUAGGAUCUAUUUUUCAACAUAUCACUCAGGCGGCGGGAGGGAUCUUGCACUGUCAAUUGAUUUUGCACUAUUUCACUAAUUUCACUGACAAGAAUCAAUCUGUCAAACGAAAAGCACUCACAUUUAUGUAUGAAAUGUUCGAUAUCACCAACAGAAUUAUUGCAGAAGGUGCAGUAGCUACUCUCCACUAUGCCCAACCGAGCCAGGAGGGCUGGGACGGUGGAGUGACCAAAACGCAGUCUGUUUAUAGUCGUAAUAAAGUCCCGAUUGGCCAUUUUCAAUUUGUUAUACCAUGGUGCUACAGUACAAUGAGAAGUAGAACUGGGAAAUAACCUCGUAAAAGCUCACCUCCCGAAGUCUGCUGAGCCAAGCAUUGUACAGGAAAAGAUCUGACAAGAGAGAGAUGAAGCUGUCAGCACAACUUCGGCCUCUCCGGAAGCCAUAUUGAACAUGUGGAAUGAUGUUGUUCACCUCUACAUAAUACUCAAGACGCAUCUUUAUCAUGUUUUCAUUAAGCUUCCCAACACAAGAUGACAAUGAUAUGGGACGAUAUGAGAUGGUUGAACUUGAAGCACCGGAAGCAUUGCUGCAACGGCGGGACAUAUUCAAACACCCGGAACGAAAAUAGGUCAUAUUGGAUGUUGUCGGGCAGAACAUUUGAUAAGAAAGUUAUACUGACAGUCUCAAGACCUACAGUACUUUGACCGACUUUUUUCAUGAAUCUUCUCACUGAAAUAAUUUCAUAACUCGAAGACAGUUUCGUAUAUAAAUCCUUGUUCGAAAUGUUGGUAGGCACAUAUCGGAUGAUUCCAGUUUUUUCUAUCUGCUCUGCAGGAAUAUGCGCUUUCAAGUUGUGCUUUGUUAAAUAGUCAGUAUUUGUUAUGAAAUUAUUUGCAGUGUUGUAUUGUUUGAAAACAACCGCAAUUUUGUUGGCAUUGACUCUAUGUAAAGCUACCACACCUUUCACCUCUGAAGUAAAAAUAUGAUUUAAGUAAA
Leptidea sinapis is the source of this 1073-nucleotide long non-coding RNA. RefSeq lists it as uncharacterized. Lineage: Eukaryota; Metazoa; Arthropoda; Insecta; Lepidoptera; Pieridae. The record is from RefSeq and is a predicted model, not a curated record. The transcript has 4 exons.